CUCCGAAAAUAUUUACUAUCUGGCCCAGUAAGAAAAAGUCUGUAAACUUACGUAGCAAAUAUUUUGUACCUGCACUCAAAUGUGACCAUCUGGAUUCCCGAUAAAGUACUACUUUUUGAACACUGCUUAACAAAGUUGCUUCUCCAAUCUUGAUACACUGUUGGUAUAUGUACUAAACCUCUUCAAGGCACCAGCAGAGAGCCUAUGUGGAACCUCAUCACCAAGUGUAUCAAAGAGAAUUACAUAUGCAUCCUGCAUAUUUCCAAGCAAUGCUGAGAACAAGAAGAAUAUGGACCACCAUCCCUAUUUCCCGAGGACAACUUGUAUGAAUGGAGUUGAAUAGGAAUCAGAGAUACCACUAGGUAUGGUUUAGCUUCUGGUUUGGACACAGAUUACUUCUGUGAGUGAAUUUCACUUCACUUCAGGAGAGUUAUUCAGGUAAGUGUUGUUACCUGAUAGUUUUAUAGUUAAAUUGUCAAAGAGAUUGAAAAAGGGGGUAAAGAAGAUACUGUGGAACUGGGGGUUUAUUGGAUGUAAACACAAGUUUACAAUGUGCAGACAUGUACAGAUUAACUGAGGUACUACUGUGGGUGACAACAUAUAUAGUGGGUCGUUUUGGUUUUUUGUUUAUUAAGAUUCAUGUGAUUAUACUUCACAUAUUUAUUACAAGUUAUAAAAUUAGAAAAUUCCUUGGAAUUGUUAACUCUGGUUGAUUUUGGUAGAGGGGGCUGGACCAGGUGGCCUAAAGAACAAGGAGAGGGAAAGCUUUAACUUUAUAAUAAAUACACUUUGGCAUCUU
Manis pentadactyla (Chinese pangolin) is the source of this 799-nucleotide long non-coding RNA. RefSeq lists it as uncharacterized. The record is from RefSeq and is a predicted model, not a curated record. The transcript has 2 exons. NCBI's taxonomy places the organism in Eukaryota, Metazoa, Chordata, Mammalia, Pholidota, Manidae.